CCUACGGGAGGCUGCAGUGGGGAAUAUUGGACAAUGGGGGCAACCCUGAUCCAGCCAUGCCGCGUGUGUGAAGAAGGCCCUCGGGUUGUAAAGCACUUUCAGUGAGGAAGAACGCCUGGUGGUUAAUACCCAUCAGGAAAGACAUCACUCACAGAAGAAGCACCGGCUAACUCCGUGCCAGCAGCCGCGGUAAUACGGAGGGUGCGAGCGUUAAUCGGAAUUACUGGGCGUAAAGCGCGCGUAGGUGGCUUGAUAAGCCGGUUGUGAAAGCCCCGGGCUCAACCUGGGAACGGCAUCCGGAACUGUCAAGCUAGAGUGCAGGAGAGGAAGGUAGAAUUCCCGGUGUAGCGGUGAAAUGCGUAGAGAUCGGGAGGAAUACCAGUGGCGAAGGCGGCCUUCUGGACUGACACUGACACUGAGGUGCGAAAGCGUGGGUAGCAAACAGGAUUAGAUACCCCCAGUAGUC
This 466-nucleotide ribosomal RNA is filed under the name Vreelandella stevensii. Its description in RNAcentral is "partial 16S ribosomal RNA". It matches the Rfam family "Bacterial small subunit ribosomal RNA", at positions 338 to 795 of the family's 1533-position model. Lineage: Bacteria; Pseudomonadati; Pseudomonadota; Gammaproteobacteria; Oceanospirillales; Halomonadaceae. The record is from RNAcentral.